Molecule: long non-coding RNA, 9949 nt
Filed under: Triticum aestivum (bread wheat)
Lineage: Eukaryota; Viridiplantae; Streptophyta; Magnoliopsida; Poales; Poaceae
Description: long non-coding RNA (TAES_LNC022425)
Source: RNAcentral
UCUUCACGUAGUAGCAUCCAUCAGCGGUGGCAUCUGGCUCCAAAGAUCCACCAUCUAGUUGCAUCAACCAGAAAGAAGAAAGAAGGGGGAAAGGGGUAGCAAAGCAACCGUGAGUACUCGUCCAAAGUACUCGCAAGCAUCAGAUCUAUACUAAGUAUGCACAGGUAUCAAAUGGAAGGUUUGUAUCUGUGGACUGAACUGCAGAAUGCCAGAAUAGAGGGGAGGGCCUAGCCUAUCGAAGACUGGCAUCUUCAAGCAGCUUCAAGCAUCUUGCAGCAUGUAGAAGAGUAAAGAAUAGCAGUUUAUAAUUAACAAACAUGUUGUAACAUUAACGCCCAGAGAUCCUUCCUCGACUCCCUGUGAGAAAGCAAUCCCGGAGCCACAUACUCAAGUAUCAAUUUGUAGUUGUAUAAGAUCAGGAUAUAAGUCUGAACGUCCAUUACCGUGGACACGGUAUUCGAAUAUAUAACUUCCCUGCAGGGGUGCACCACGUUACCCAACACGCUCGAUCACUCUGGCCGGACACACCUUUCUGGGGUCAAUGCCCGCCCUAGGAAGAUCAACACGUCGCAGCCCUACCUAGGCUCAGCAGAGAGGUCCCCGCCGGUCUACAUCCUAAGCACUCCGGGGUCUUGGGCCCAUCGCCCGUAGCACUCCGAGUCGUUGUGAGCAGGGUGGAUACCAGCACCUCCUCGGAUGGCCAGCACGAUCCGACCGUGCCACACUGCUGAACUGGACGUCUGACAAAGCUUUAGCUGAUACUGCGACGUCGAGGCCCAUAUCUAUUCUCGCAUGGUGGUUAGUGCGUAAAGACCACAGGCCAACUCAGAACAAAUACCCAAACCAUAGUGUAUUAUUAGCUUGCGGAGACGAGCAGAGACUCACGAUCAAAAGUGACCCUGUCGCCCCGUCUCGUGGACUUACGACAAGGGCCUAGAAUCACGCACGGAGGAUUCCACUCGAUGUAAUCAUCAAGGUGAACGUAAGAGGGACCACCCUCGAGGUUCACACUUGAGGUGUUAAACGAUAGAGCCGUAUCGGGAAUGGUGAAAGAGGAAAUCACCCUCGAUGACCAGGACCGAAUAGCUACACUACAGAAUUAUCAUUAGGAGUGUGUUAUGAGGGAUCACUCUCGGCACUCGACAGUAGCUCUGCAGAGUCGAGCAACAAAAGGGGCGUGAUGUGAUGUGAGGUGUCGGGCUCUAGUCAUCGAUCACACUGAUCGAGUCGUCGAUGAUGAAGCAGGGGCAACAAGGACAAGGUGGGGGUCACCGAUGGAUCACUAACCAACCUAUACUAAGCAGUUUAGGAUAAGCAGGUAGGUAACAAUAGCAGGUACAAAAGCAGGCUAUGCAUCAGAAUAGGAGCAAACAAUAACAGUAGCAAAAUCUAAUGCAAGCAUGAGAGUAUAGAAUGGGCGAUAUCGGGAUGAUCAAAGGGGGGGCUUGCCUGGUUGCUCAGACAAGGAGGGUCGUCGUCGACGUAGUCGAUCACAGGGGCAUCAGCAGCGGUCUCGGGGUCUACCGGAGAGAAGAAGGGGAAGAAACAGUAAAUACAUAGCAGGCAAGUGCAUAACAAGACAAUAAGCGGGGCUAGAAGUGUUCUAACGCCACGGUAGGCGGUACUGGCGAAGGGGGAAACAUCCGGGAAUGUUUUCCCGGUUCCGGACGUCUAUCAGACAGAUGAACCGGAGGGGAAAGGUUGCAUGUUCGCUAUGCUAGGGACGUGUGGCUGGCAAACAGACCGCGUAUUCAGAUUCGUCUCAUCGUUUUGAGCAACUAUCAUGUAGAAAACAUUUUCAUCCGAGUUACAGAUUAUCUUAAAUUAAAUUUCUAAGUUUAACACAUUUUCCCGAAAUUCUGGAUUUAUUACAAUUCAAAAAUAAACUUAGGAUAUACUUAUUAUACCUACUAUGGGGUAGCCAUAGUGGAUGAUAGGUGGGACCAGGGGGGUCCAGUUGACUCAGUCAAUAGUCCAUAGUCAACUGUUUGACUAUUGACUGGUCAAAACUGCCGCUAGGGCCCAGGUGUCAUUCUCACAUAUUCAACAUUUUCUUUUUAAGUGGAUAUAGACUAGUAUUUUAAUAGGUUUAUUUAACUCGCCAAAUUAGCAAUGGGGACCCACAAGUCAUCUGGACAUAGACUAAUCUAGCCACUAAUUAAUCCUUCUAGCUAAACCUAGUACUAACAAGGGUCGGCCACUACUGGGCAGAACCCAGCCGGCCACUCGCACAGACACACACACAACACACAACACAGGGAGAAGUUAAAUCUGUUCUCUAUUAGCAGAAGAUGGCAAUUUGUGAUUUUCAUAUGAUUUAAACCAUGCAUCAGAUGGAUUUGGUCCAAUGAACAAAUUUGAGCCUUGCAAGUGUACUACCAUCCCAUAUUUUUUUAGACAUAUUAACAACUGUUUAACCGCUGAUUAGGGGCUGUUUAGGGGCUUAGUAACUGUAGAAAUAGAAAAGCUAGCAACAUCUAAAGUAGCUAGCAACUAGCAGCGUAUAGGCGGCAUCGGUGGGUACGAACAACGGCGGCGCCAACACGCAGCUGGGACGCACGCGAGAGGCAGCGGCUAAGGGCGCGGGCCGGCACGGCUGGGUGCGUGCGCGGGUGUGCAAGGCAGCGGCAGUGAACGGGUAGAGGUGGCCGUGCGCGUUGCAGGGAACGGCCGGAGCAGGCACACGUGCGGCCUCGGGUGAGCUCCGGACGACGGGAGCGCAGCGGCGGGCCUGUGCGGGGUGAGCAGGGGUGCCGUGUAAGCAGUAGGGAGCCGCAUGGGCGAACAAUGAGCGAGGCAGUUGGGGUCGGGCGCGGUCGUGGUGGCGGUGGCCGCGACCACCGGCCGGAACUAGGCGGCACGGGGCGAUGACGGAGAAUGAACGAAGGAGAAGACUAGCAGGGGACGGCAUGAUGCUCACCAGAGGAGCGCAAGAAGGCCCGUUGAUAGGCUUAGUAGCAGCAGAGCAGGGGGUCGAAGCGACGAGGUUUCGGCGACCACGGGUGUUGACGGAGACGACGAGGCCGUUGCACUGCUCCCCGAGACGAAGCAGAGUACCAGCUCGACGAAGACGAGGGAGGCGAAGCUCAUGGACACAAGCUAUGGGUGAGAAAACGCCGGUGGCCGCGGGAUCGUGGAGUGCAUGGUGACGGCGGGGUGCGGCCGCGAUGGAUCUAGGGCAGGAGAAGAGGAGAGAAGGGCAAGCGAGCGAGUAAGAGAGGAGGGGAUAUUUUGGGGGCCACGGUGGCCUCCUUAUCUCCUCCCGCGGCGCUGUAGCAGCGUGGCCGACGAGGUGGCUCGGCGGCAACGCGCGGCGCGGGUCUCGGUUGGCUGAACAGGGAAGGGAAAGACGACAGCGGAGGAGUUGGGCCAGCUCAGGUGGGCCGGCGCAGGGGGUUAGGCCCAUGAGGGCUUGGGGCCUUUUUCCAUUUUAUUCAUUUUCUUGUUUUGUUUCUCUGCUUUCUUUUAUUGCUUUAAUUUAGACUUUAGCUUUACAAAAUAUAGGAAUAACACCUAAAUUGGUUUUACUAAUUAUACCAUUGCCACAUUUAGUGAGGUUCAAAUAAAAUAGUUUAGUAUCUUUAUAAAAAACAUUUAUAUAAUUGUUUUAGCCAGUGUUUUAGUUAGUUUAGGGUAUUUAAACACUUUACAAAAGUGUUGGGUCACCACCAUAUUUAGUUAUGAAAUAUUUGCCACAGUUUGCGCAUUUUAUUUUGCAUGUUUGAGAAAUUUGAAUUUUGGACUUUUAUUUUAAGUUUGAAUUUGAAUUGUUAUUUUGAUCAAUCGCGGAUUAGUAACAGUAAUGUGGUGACAUGGCACCAUUAAUGAGGGUUUACUGUAGCUUAAUUAUCCGGGCAUCACAAUUCUCCUCCACUACAAGAAAUCUCGUCCCGAGAUUUAAGGGGUGGAGUAAGGGGGAAAGACUCGGGAAGGACGGAGCUCAACACAAGAUAGGUACCUGGGGGAUGUUUCGAUGAACGUGGCAUAGAGACAUCUCUCGAGUUGAAAUUCAAGAAAGUCAUCGAGAGCAAGGUAAGAAGGAGCAACAAGAAGCUUCAACCGGGUAGGCAACCGUUCGUUCCCUGAAACAAAGGGUGAAAACGGUUCUUAGCAAUGGGAAUAAGUAUUGCAUCUGAUACCAGAACAGAUCACAAGGAAGGUGGCUCGCGAAUUACAUACGAAACCAAGUGUGAGAAACAAUUUUAGAAGACAAAGAUGUAAAGGAGAGUCAGGUUUCGUUCCUGUGGAACUGUGGGUUAUGGGCCCACCAUGUGGGUUAAAAGAAAGAAGGCAUUACAUUUUGCACGGUCAUGAUAGCAAGGCAGGUCAGAGGACAACCUGUCAGUUAUGUUGGUAACAACAUUGGUACCAAGGGCGAGGGACGAAGAGAACCAUUUUCCUGCUCGUUAAGACGAGGCAGACCAAUAGGCAAAGUUCUUGUCCAUCGAUGGCUACUAGAAUGUCAUCAAUAAUAGUAACAAGGUCUUACUGACAGAGUUUGUACACCAAAGUGUUUACAUAAGCAGGGAAUUAUCACUGCUCAGAUAUGUUAGUUCACAAGUAGGGUUAAACAAAGCAAUGGAGACCUGAAUCAAUUACCGGUGUUCUCGAGUGUUUAACAACGCAGAACCCGUGGAAAAUUUGAAUCGGCAAGAAUAAUAGUUGAUGAAAAACUCACAAGAAGUUAUGUAGUUCCGUGAUAUUCUCGAGAUACCAGAGGGUAACACUCGAGGGUAUAGCAGAACAGAGGUUGGACGGGCGAAAUGAACUACAGAAGACAAGUACUUACACUUGUCUGAGAAAUGAAAUCAAAGAAGAAAAGUCAUGGUUGGAACCACGGUUGCAAAGGACCAAAUAUAGAUAACAGAUAAACUUACCACAAGGGGAUUAUUAUUAUAACAAGAAGCUUCCAUGAUAAGUUCCACAUCAGGUCCAUGGGCAUGAACACGAGGUUCAAGGUCGACUCCCAUUUCUCUAAUACAUAACUUUUCAUUCACUUCUCACUUUCUGUGAAGUUGUAGUGUUGAUAUUUUAUCUGGCAAAACACCAGAAGAGUAAGACUCAUGAAGACUCUCGGGUUCAAACAGAUUAGGGAAGGCGUAGGUUCAACCCAUAGAGGCAUCUUAGGAACCUUUCCCACAAACUUCAGGAGUAAAAUAUCAAUCCCGAGAGUAGAGCAUGGUUGAGGAAGCAUAAGAUACAAUUUACCAAAGGCAUUAUGUAUCCGAGGAAAAGCUCACAAGGUUAUUGUAUAUGAAGGACGCUGUCGGAUAGAACCCCACAAAGGAUCUGGUGGUUCACACGGGAUCUGAUGUGAGCAUCAUUACUCAACCAAAAGUAGAAAGAAUGCAAGGAUAUCAGAUUAUAGAAGCAACUGACUCAUUCAGAGUUGAAAUGCAAAGGAAUUACGAUUUCCAAAAUCAAGGGAUCAGAAGCAAACGCUCUGACCAAGGAUGGUUAAGUUGAAUAGAUAUAGGGCACAAUCGAUGGCAAUCUGAUAGGCCGAGAACCAGCUCAUGUUCGGGAAGACGUCUGAGCGGGAAAGAUAAUCUAUAAGGAUCAACUAAUGAUUAUGACACAGACAUAUCAAAUCGAAAGACUCACGAUGAUAAUGACAAAGGACAUCAAUGGAUACUGCUAGGCAUAUGGAAUUAGUCAGAGUGUAGGUAGGUAAGACUUUCUAGAGCAAUAGGCGACAGAGGUCAUCGAAAGCUCGGAUUGUGUUACCAAAUAUCUUAUGAAGCAUAAGAAUAACCAGGGUGAAUGGAUACUCGAUAAGAGCGAGUAAUUAUCCAAAAGGGUAUUCAUGCGGCAAGGACUCCAGGGCAGUAAGCAUAAAGGAUCCUCGGAACAUCGAAGAGUAUUUUAGGACAUCUUAAUAACAAGAGCACCUGGGGAUGAAGGUAUGAACGACAUCGUAGGUAGUUAUGCAUAAGGAUUUAUCGGUGGUAGGGAUUGCAACGACGAAGACACAAGGGUCUCGGGAAAACUUCGGAGACUAUCUUCAGGAUCUUCUAGUGCACCAAGCAAUCGUCUGGAGUGAGGGGCUCUCCGGGAGAAAGUGUUAUGAGAACCUAGAGUUGGAGUUAACAAAAUUGUUUAACCCGAAUAGAAGAAAGAUCAGAAUCCCAGAGUAUAGACGAGGAGUAAAAGAUCCUAAUACCACCCAAUUUGGCGACGUGGGCCCGUAAGCCACACAGCCAUGUUAGUAAAACCGUUUUUCAAAGACUAGACUCAACUUCAGCCAAGGAGUUGGAAAGGGGGAUCCUAUAGGCAGUCGGCUCUCAUACCAACUUGUGACGCCCCCGAUUCAAUUGUACACUAAUCAUACACGCAAAUGUGUACGAUCAAGAUCAGGGACUCACGGGAAGAUAUCACAACACAACUCUAGACACAAAUAAAAUAAUACAAGCUUUAUAUUACAAGCCAGGGGCCUCGAGGGCUCGAAUACAAAAUCUCGAUACACAAGAGUCGGCGGAAGCAACAAUAUCUGAGUACAGACAUAAGUUAAACAAGACUGCCUUAAGAAGGCUAGCACAAAAGCAACACGAUCGAAGAGACAAGGCCUCCUGCCUGGGAGCUCCUAACUACUCCUGGACGUCAGCGGUCUUCAUGUAGUAGCAUCCAUAGGUGGUGGCAUCUGGCUCCAAAGAUCCAUCAUCUGGUUGCAUCAACCGGGAAGAAGAAAGAAGGGGGAAAUGGGUAGCAAAGCAACCGUGAGUACUCGUCCAAAGUACUCGCAAGCAUCAGAUCUAUACUAAGUAUGCAUAGGUAUCAAAUGGAAGGUUUGUAUCUAUGGACUGAACUGCAGAAUGCCAGAAUAGAGGGGAAGGCCUAGCCUAUCGAAGACGAGCAUCUUCAAGCAGCUUCAAGCAUCUUGCAACAUGUAGAAGAGUAAAGAAUUGCAGUUUAUAAUUAACAAACAUGUUGUAACAUUAACGCCCAGAGAUCCUUCCUCGACUCCCUGCGAGAAAGCAAUCCCGGAGCCACAUAUUCAAGUAUCCAUUUGUAGUUGUAUAGGAUCAGGAUAUAAGUCUGGACGUCCAUUACCGUGGACACGGUAUUCGAAUAUAUAACUUCCCCGCAGGGGUGCACCACGUUACCCAACACGCUCGAUCACUCUGGUCGGACACACCUUUCUGGGGUCAAUGCCCACCCUCGGAAGAUCAACACGUCGCAGCCCUACCUAGGCUCAACAGAGAGGUCCCCGUCGGUCUAUAUCCUAAGCACUCCGGGGUCUUGGGCCCAUCGCCCGCAGCACUCCGGGUCGUUGCGAGCAGGGUGGAUACCAGCACCACCUCGGAUGGCCAGCAUGAUCCGACCGUGCCGCACUGCUGAACUGGACAUCUGACAAAGCUUCGGCUGAUACUGCGACAUUGAGGCCCAUAUCUUUUCUCGCGUGGUGGUUAGUGCGUAAAGGCCAGAGGCCAACUCAGAACAAAUACCCAAACCAUAGUGUAUUAUUAGCUUGCGGAGUCGAGCAGAGACUCACAAUCGAAAGUGACCCCGUCGCCCCGUCUUGUGGACUUACGACAAGGGCCUAGAAUGCCCGGCCGUGCCACGUAACCAUCUUGCAGGUGCUCUCCGGGCCCACCCGACUUUCACCAAGGUCUCAAGUAAAGUUAUUGUAACCGUGUGUCCAAACAUCAAGGGGAAAGUCCGAGGAAUCACCCAUGGAGGAUUCCACUCGAUGUAAUCAUCAAGGUGAACGUAAGAGGGACCACCCUCGAGGUUCACACUUGAGGUGUUGAAUGAUAGAGCCGUAUCGGGAAUGGUGAAAGAGGAAAUCACCCUCGAUGAUCACGACCGAAUAGCUACACUACAGAAUUAUCAUCAGGAGUGCGUUAUGAGGGAUCACCCUCGGCACUCGACAAUAGCUUUGUAGAGUCGAGCAACAAAACGGGCGUGAUGUGAUGUGAGGUGUCGGGCUAUGGUCGUCGAUCACGCUGAUCGAGUCAUCGAUGAUGAAGCAGGGGCAACAAGGACAAGGUGGGGGUCACCGAUGGAUCACUAACCAACCUAUACUAAGCAGUUUAGGAUAAGCGGGUAGGUAACAAUAGUAGGUACAAAAGCAGGCUAUGCAUCAGUAUAGGAGCAAACAAUAACAUUAGCAAAAUCUAAUGCAAGCAUGAGUGUAUAGAAUGGGCGAUAUCAGGAUGAUCAAAGGGGGGGCUUGCCUGGUUGCUCAGACAAGGAGGGUCGUCGUCGACGUAGUCGAUCACAGGGGCAUCAGCAGCGGUCUCGGGGUCUACGAGAGAAAAGAGGGGGAAGAAACAGUAAAUACAUAGCAGGCAAGUGCAUAACAAGACAAUAAGCGAGGCUAGAAGUGUUCUACGCAGUGCUAGGCGGUACUGGCGAAGGGGGAAACAUCCGGGAAAGUUUUUCCGGUUCCGGACGUCUGUCAGACAGAUGAACCGGAGGGGAAAGGUUGCAUGUUCACUAUGCUAGGGACGUGUGGCGGGUGAACAGACCGCGGAGUCGGAUUCGUCUCGUCGUUCUGAGCAACUUUCAUGUAGAAAACUUUUUCAUCCGAGUUACAGAUUAUCUUAAAUUAAAUUUCUAAGUUUAACACAUUUUCCCGAAAUUCUGGAUUUAUUAUAAUUCAAAAAUAAAAAUAGGAUAUACUUAUUAUACCUACUGUCAUAGUGGAUGAUAGGUGGGACCAAGGAGGGUCUAGUUGACUCAGUAAAUAGUCAAUAGUCAACUGUUUGACUGUUGACUGGUCAAAACUGCCGCUAGGGUCCAGGUGUCAUUCUCACAUAUUCAACCUUUUCUUUUUAAGUGGAUAUAGACUAGUAUUUUAAUAGGUUUAUUUAACUAGCCAAAUUAGCAGUGGGGACCCACAAGUCAUCUGGACAUAGACUAAUCAAGCUACUAAUUAAUCCUUCUAGCUAAACCUAGUACUAACAAGGGCCGACCACUACUGGGCAGAACCCAGCCGGUCACACGCACAGACACACACACAACACACAACACAGGGAGAAGUUAAAUAUGUUCUCUGUUAGCAGAAGAUGGCAAUUUGUGAUUUUCAUAUGAUUUAAACCAUGCAUCAGAUGGAUUUGGUCCAAUGAACAAAUUUGAGCCUUGUCAAGUGUACUACCAUCCCACAUUUUUUUAGACAUAUUAACAACUAUUUAACCGCUGAUUAGGGGAUGUUUAGGGUCUUAGUCAUUGUAGAAAUAGAAAAGCUAGCAACAUCUAUAGUAGAUAGCAACUAGCAGCGUAUAGGCAGCAUCGGUGGGUACCAACAGCGGCGGCACCAACACGCAGCUGGGACGCGCGCGAGAGGCAGCGGUGAAGGGCGCAGGCCGGCACGGCUAGGUACGUGCGCGGGUGUGCAAGGCAGCGGCAGUGAACGGGUAGAGGCGGGCGUGCGCAUUGCAGGGAACGGCCGGAGCAGGCACACGUGCGGCCUCGGGUGAGCCCCGGACGACGGGACCGCAGCGGCGGGCCUGUGCACGGUGAGCAGGGGUGCCGUGUACGCAGUAGGGAGCCGCAUGGGCGAACUACGCGCGAGGCAGUUGGGGUCGGGCGCGGUCGCGGUGGCGGUGGCCGCGACCACCGGCCGGAACUAGGCGGCACGGGGCGACGACGGAGAACGAACGAAGGAGAAGACUAGCAGGGGGACGGCAUGAUGCUCACCAGAGGAGCGCAAGAAGGCCCGUUGAUAGGCUUAGUAGCAGCAGAGCAGGGGGUCGAAGCGACGAGGUUCCGGUGACCGCGGGUGUUGACGGAGAUGGCGAGGCCGUUGCACUGCUCCCCGAGACGAAGCAGAGUACCAGCUCGAGGGAGACGAGGGAGGCGGAGCUCAUGGACAUGAGCUAUGGGUGAGAAAACGCCGGUGGCCGCGGGAUCGUGGAGUGCACGGUGACGGCGGGGCACGGCCGCGAUGGAUCUGGGGCAGGGGAAGAGGAGAGAAGGGCAAGCGAGCAAGUAAGAGAGGAGGGGA